GCUCUCUGAGUGCCUGACGGUCUCCGGAAUGAUGUCACGGAAAGCCCUGGAUGACGUGAACCGGUUGCUAUGAAGUUGCACCCGUAGGAAUAUGAGCCUUGUGGAGCUGCCAACAGGCAGGAGUUGGCAGGAAACUCCCACAUCUACAGAGCUACUGAGACAUUAACCUGUGGCUGCCGCAAUGAUGUUUCUGGCUCAAAGACAUAAGCUUCAUGGAAUCACACACACGUUCUUAAAAAUUCACUGACUUCCAUCAGACUAUUAUCCUGCUCUGCUGUGCUUUGGCCAGGCCUCAUUCGGAGUACCGUGUCCAGUUCUGGGUACCCCUGUUUUAAGAAAAGACGUUGCCAAACCGGAGCAAAUUCAGAGGAAAGCGUCCGAGACGGCAAACGGAUUGGAAAUGAAGAAUGCUAAAUAGCUCCAGAUACGUGGCUGUGGGCAUCUCUCCUCUCGGCUUUUGCGCUUAGAGUUUGCAGGACACUGGUGGGGAUCUCGUGGACUUUGGUGGUGGAAUCCUUCCUUGGGGUCGGUUACGGGGAAGGCUGCCUCGACGACCGAGGAAGAGGGGACACCCCCCCGGAAGAAACUAAGUGAGAAGGAGAUCCAGCUGGAAUUGGGCGGCAAAGAGCGGGUGAGUCCCUCAACUUGUCACCUCACGAAAAACUCUGAGGAGGGCAAUAAAGG
Molecule: long non-coding RNA, 684 nt
Filed under: Salvator merianae (Argentine black and white tegu)
Lineage: Eukaryota; Metazoa; Chordata; Lepidosauria; Squamata; Teiidae
Description: lncRNA (ENSSMRG00000009180.1)
Source: RNAcentral